Ribosomal RNA from Bos grunniens (domestic yak), 118 nucleotides. The record is from Ensembl. Lineage: Eukaryota; Metazoa; Chordata; Mammalia; Artiodactyla; Bovidae.
GUCUACGGCCAUACCACCCUGAACGUGCCCGAUCUUGUCUGAUCUCAGAAGCUAAGCAGGGUCGGGCCUGUUAGUACUUGGAUGGGAGACCACCUGGGAAUGCCUGGUGCUGUAGGCU